Molecule: ribosomal RNA, 502 nt
Filed under: uncultured Glomeromycotina
Lineage: Eukaryota; Fungi; Glomeromycota
Also listed under: 1 other name
Description: partial small subunit ribosomal RNA
Rfam family: Eukaryotic small subunit ribosomal RNA
Source: RNAcentral
CCAAUAGCGUAUAUUAAAGUUGUUGCAGUUAAAAAGCUCGUAGUUGAACUUCGGGGUUUACCCAUUGGUCAGGCUUAAUUGUCUGUACUGGUGAGAUGAAUCUCUACCUUCUGAGGAACUUUCAUGCCAUUUAUUUGGUGUGAUGGGAAAUCAGGACUGUUACUUUGAAAAAAUUAGAGUGUUUAAAGCAGGCUAACGUCUGAAUACAUUAGCAUGGAAUAAUGAAAUAGGACGGAUUGAUUCUAUUUCGUUGGUUUCUAGGAUCACCGUAAUGAUUAAUAGGGAUAGUUGGGGGCAUUAGUAUUCAAUUGUCAGAGGUGAAAUUCUUGGAUUUAUUGAAGACUAACUACUGCGAAAGCAUUUGCCAAGGAUGUUUUCAUUAAUCAAGAACGAAAGUUAGGGGAUCGAAGACGAUCAGAUACCGUCGUAGUCUUAACCAUAAACUAUGCCGACUAGGGAUCGGACGAAGUUAAUUUUAUAAUGACGCGUUCGGCACCUUACG